GCAUUGGUGGUUCAGUGGAAGAAUCCCCACCUGCCGUGUGGGAGACCCGGGUUCGAUUCCCGGCCAAUGCA
Acomys russatus (golden spiny mouse) is the source of this 71-nucleotide non-coding RNA. NCBI's taxonomy places the organism in Eukaryota, Metazoa, Chordata, Mammalia, Rodentia, Muridae. The record is from the annotation of a RefSeq genome assembly.